GUAGGUGGCAAGCGUUGUCCGGAAUUAUUGGGCGUAAAGCGCGCGCAGGUGGUUCUUUAAGUCUGAUGUGAAAGCCCCCGGCUCAACCGGGGAGGGUCAUUGGAAACCGGGGAACUUGAGUGCAGGAGAGGAAAGUGGAAUUCCACGUGUAGCGGUGAAAUGCGUAGAUAUGUGGAGGAACACCAGUGGCGAAGGCGACUUUCUGGCCUGUAACUGACACUGAGGCGCGAAAGCGUGGGGAGCAAACAGGAUUAGAUACCCUGGUAGUCCAUGCCGUAAACGAUGAGUGCUAAGUGUUGGGGGGGUUUCCCGCCCCUCAGUGCUGCAGCUAACGCAUUAAGCACUCCGCCUGGGGAUACGGUCGCAAGACUG
This 372-nucleotide ribosomal RNA is filed under the name uncultured organism. RNAcentral describes it as "partial 16S ribosomal RNA". It matches the Rfam family "Bacterial small subunit ribosomal RNA", at positions 527 to 896 of the family's 1533-position model. The record is from RNAcentral.